This is a long non-coding RNA of Erinaceus europaeus (western European hedgehog), 102 nucleotides long. RefSeq lists it as uncharacterized. The record is from RefSeq and is a predicted model, not a curated record. The transcript is spliced from 3 exons. Lineage: Eukaryota; Metazoa; Chordata; Mammalia; Eulipotyphla; Erinaceidae.
GUGUUUUUUGUUUGUUUUAGAAUUAAUACUGGCCUUAGGUGCGGGUAGUUUGCAUAAUGGUUCUGCAAAGAGACUCUCAUGCCUGAAGCUCCAAAGUCCCAG